RNAcentral lists this ribosomal RNA (735 nucleotides) under uncultured bacterium. RNAcentral's name for it is "bacterial SSU rRNA". It matches the Rfam family "Bacterial small subunit ribosomal RNA", at positions 76 to 826 of the family's 1533-position model. The record is from RNAcentral.
UUCGUAUGAAGGUGUCCUAGUGGCGAACGGGUGAGUAACACGUAGGUAACCUGCCCCAAAGAGGGGGAUAACCUCGGGAAACUGAGGCUAAUACCCCAUGUGCUCCACGGUAUUAGAUGACCAUGGAGUAAAGGAGUAAUCCGCUUUGGGAGGGGCCUGCGGCCCAUCAGCUAGUUGGUAGGGUAAUGGCCUACCAAGGCUAUGACGGGUAGGGGGCCUGAGAGGGUGGUCCCCCACACUGACACUGAAACACGGGUCAGACACUUACGGGUGGCAGCAGUAGGGAAUAUUGCACAAUGGGCGAAAGCCUGAUGCAGCAACGCCGCGUGCGCGAUGAAGGCCUUCGGGUUGUAAAGCGCUUUUCUGGGGGAAGAGAAAGGACGGUACCCCAGGAAUAAGUCUCGGCUAACUACGUGCCAGCAGCCGCGGUAAAACGUAGGAGGCAAGCGUUAUCCGGAUUUACUGGGCGUAAAGCGUGUGUAGGCGGUAUGGUAAGUCGGACGUGAAAGCUCCUGGCUCAACUGGGAGAGGCCGUUCGAAACUUCCAAACUUGAGGGCAGUAGAGGGAGGUGGAAUUCCGGGUGUAGCGGUGAAAUGCGUAGAUAUCCGGAGGAACACCAGUGGCGAAGGCGGCCUCCUGGACUGUCCCUGACGCUCAGACACGAAAGCUAGGGGAGCAAACGGGAUCAGACACCCCGGUAGUCCUAGCUGUAAACGAUGCAGACUUGGUGUUGG